CCUGGCGGCACUAGCGCGGUGGUCCCACCUGACCCCAUGCCGAACUCUGAAGUGAAACGCCGUAGCGCCGAUGGUAGUGUGGGGUCUCCCCAUGUGAGAGUAGGGAACUGCCAGGC
RNAcentral lists this ribosomal RNA (116 nucleotides) under Klebsiella pneumoniae. The record is from RNAcentral. Lineage: Bacteria; Pseudomonadati; Pseudomonadota; Gammaproteobacteria; Enterobacterales; Enterobacteriaceae.